AAAUUGAAGAGUUUGAUCAUGGCUCAGAUUGAACGCUGGCGGCAGGCCUAACACAUGCAAGUCGAACGGUAACAGGAAGCAGCUUGCUGCUUUGCUGACGAGUGGCGGACGGGUGAGUAAUGUCUGGGAAACUGCCUGAUGGAGGGGGAUAACUACUGGAAACGGUGGCUAAUACCGCAUAACGUCGCAAGACCAAAGAGGGGGACCUUUGGGCCUCUUGCCAUCAGAUGUGCCCAGAUGGGAUUAGCUUGUUGGUGAGGUAACGGCUCACCAAGGCGACGAUCCCUAGCUGGUCUGAGAGGAUGACCAGCCACACUGGAACUGAGACACGGUCCAGACUCCUACGGGAGGCAGCAGUGGGGAAUAUUGCACAAUGGGCGCAAGCCUGAUGCAGCCAUGCCGCGUGUAUGAAGAAGGCCUUCGGGUUGUAAAGUACUUUCAGCGGGGAGGAAGGUGUUGUGGUUAAUAACCGCAGCAAUUGACGUUACCCGCAGAAGAAGCACCGGCUAACUCCGUGCCAGCAGCCGCGGUAAUACGGAGGGUGCAAGCGUUAAUCGGAAUUACUGGGCGUAAAGCGCACGCAGGCGGUCUGUCAAGUCGGAUGUGAAAUCCCCGGGCUCAACCUGGGAACUGCAUUCGAAACUGGCAGGCUUGAGUCUUGUAGAGGGGGGUAGAAUUCCAGGUGUAGCGGUGAAAUGCGUAGAGAUCUGGAGGAAUACCGGUGGCGAAGGCGGCCCCCUGGACAAAGACUGACGCUCAGGUGCGAAAGCGUGGGGAGCAAACAGGAUUAGAUACCCUGGUAGUCCACGCCGUAAACGAUGUCUACUUGGAGGUUGUGCCCUUGAGGCGUGGCUUCCGGAGCUAACGCGUUAAGUAGACCGCCUGGGGAGUACGGCCGCAAGGUUAAAACUCAAAUGAAUUGACGGGGGCCCGCACAAGCGGUGGAGCAUGUGGUUUAAUUCGAUGCAACGCGAAGAACCUUACCUGGUCUUGACAUCCACAGAACUUUCCAGAGAUGGAUUGGUGCCUUCGGGAACUGUGAGACAGGUGCUGCAUGGCUGUCGUCAGCUCGUGUUGUGAAAUGUUGGGUUAAGUCCCGCAACGAGCGCAACCCUUAUCCUUUGUUGCCAGCGGUCCGGCCGGGAACUCAAAGGAGACUGCCAGUGAUAAACUGGAGGAAGGUGGGGAUGACGUCAAGUCAUCAUGGCCCUUACGACCAGGGCUACACACGUGCUACAAUGGCGCAUACAAAGAGAAGCGACCUCGCGAGAGCAAGCGGACCUCAUAAAGUGCGUCGUAGUCCGGAUUGGAGUCUGCAACUCGACUCCAUGAAGUCGGAAUCGCUAGUAAUCGUGGAUCAGAAUGCCACGGUGAAUACGUUCCCGGGCCUUGUACACACCGCCCGUCACACCAUGGGAGUGGGUUGCAAAAGAAGUAGGUAGCUUAACCUUCGGGAGGGCGCUUACCACUUUGUGAUUCAUGACUGGGGUGAAGUCGUAACAAGGUAACCGUAGGGGAACCUGCGGUUGGAUCACCUCCUUACCUGAAAGAA
This 1552-nucleotide ribosomal RNA is filed under the name Salmonella enterica. RNAcentral's name for it is "bacterial SSU rRNA". It matches the Rfam family "Bacterial small subunit ribosomal RNA". The record is from RNAcentral. Lineage: Bacteria; Pseudomonadati; Pseudomonadota; Gammaproteobacteria; Enterobacterales; Enterobacteriaceae.